GACAGAGGGGGCAAGCGUUGUCCGGACUGACUGGGCGUAAAGCGCGCGCAGGCGGUCAGAGGCGUCGGUGCUCAAAGUCCACCGCUUAACGGUGGGAGGCGUGCCGAUACGCUCUGACUGGAGGGCGGGCGAGGGUGGUGGAAUUGCCGGUGUAGUGGUGAAAUGCGUAGAGAUCGGCAGGAACACCAGUGGCGAAGGCGACUACCUGGCCUGUUCUUGACGCUGAGGCGCGAAAGCUAGGGGAGCAAACGGG
RNAcentral lists this ribosomal RNA (253 nucleotides) under uncultured bacterium. Its description in RNAcentral is "partial 16S ribosomal RNA". It matches the Rfam family "Bacterial small subunit ribosomal RNA", at positions 524 to 776 of the family's 1533-position model. The record is from RNAcentral.